Molecule: ribosomal RNA, 1272 nt
Filed under: human gut metagenome
Description: bacterial LSU rRNA
Rfam family: Bacterial large subunit ribosomal RNA
Source: RNAcentral
GGUGCCCGUACCGCAAACCGACACAGGUAGGUAGGAAGAAGAUUCUAAGGCCAACGGGAGAAGGGUUGUUAAGGAACUCGGCAAGUUGACCCCGUAACUUCGGAAUAAGGGGUGCUCAUGAAAGUGAGCCGCAGAGAAUAGGCCCAGGCAACUGUUUACCAAAAACACAGGUUUGUGCUAAAUCGAAAGAUGACGUAUACGAGCUGACGCCUGCCCGGUGCUGGAAGGUUAAAAGGAGAUGUGCAAGCAUUGAAUUGAAGCCCCAGUGAACGGCGGCCGUAACUAUAACGGUCCUAAGGUAGCGAAAUUCCUUGUCAGGUAAGUUCUGACCCGCACGAAAGGCGUAAUGAUUUGGGCACUGUCUCAACAGCCCGCCCGGCGAAAUUGUAGUACCGGUGAAGAUGCCGGUUACCCGCGACAAGACGGAAAGACCCCAUGGAGCUUUACUGUAGCCUAAUAUUGGGUUUCGAUGUUGCAUGCACAGGAUAGAUGGGACACAGGGAAACAAUCGCUUUGGCGGUUGCGGAGUGGCCGUUGGGAUACCAUCCUUGCGAUAUUGGAAUUCUAACCUGCGGCUCUGAAUCGAGUCGGGGGACAUUGUUAGGUGGGCAGUUUGACUGGGGCGGUCGCCUCCUAAAGAGUAACGGAGGCGUUCAAAGGUUCGCUCAGCUUGAACGGAAAUCAAGCAAAAGAGUGCAAACGCAGAAGCGAGCCUAACUGCGAGACUGACGGGUCGAGCAGUAACGAAAGUUGGAGUUAGUGAUCCGGUGGUAUGUGAGUGGAAAUGCCAUCGCUCAACGGAUAAAAGCUACCCUGGGGAUAACAGGCUGAUCUCCCCCAAGAGUCCACAUCGACGGGGAGGUUUGGCACCUCGAUGUCGGCUCAUCGCAUCCUGGGGCUGAAGUAGGUCCCAAGGGUUGGGCUGUUCGCCCAUUAAAGCGGUACGCGAGCUGGGUUCAGAACGUCGUGAGACAGUUCGGUCCCUAUCUGUCGUGGGCGCAGGAUAUUUGAUGGGAGCUGUUCCUAGUACGAGAGGACCGGAGCGGACGUACCUCUGGCGCACCAGUUGUUCUGCCAAGGGCAUAGCUGGGCAACUAUGUACGGAUCGGAUAAACGCUGAAAGCAUCUAAGCGUGAAGCCGACCCAAAGAUAAGAUAUCCCAUUGUUUCAAACAAGUAAGACCCCUUGAAGACUACAAGGUUGAUAGGCACGAUGUGUAAGUGGAGUGAUCCAUUCAGCAAGCGUGUACUAAUAGGUCGAGGGCUUGACCAC